GUGAUUUCUGCCCAGUGCU
Molecule: non-coding RNA, 19 nt
Filed under: Arabidopsis thaliana (thale cress)
Lineage: Eukaryota; Viridiplantae; Streptophyta; Magnoliopsida; Brassicales; Brassicaceae
Also listed under: 1 other name
Source: RNAcentral